GGAAACGUUCUGACGCUAAGUGGUUGACCUAAAAGGAGAUUCGGCCUGACUCGAAACCAGGCGUACGGUACGGUAACCCCGUACCGGGGGUUCGAAUCCCCCCCUCUCCGCCA
RNAcentral lists this transfer RNA (113 nucleotides) under Mitsuaria sp. BK037. RNAcentral's name for it is "tRNA-Ser". Lineage: Bacteria; Pseudomonadati; Pseudomonadota; Betaproteobacteria; Burkholderiales; Sphaerotilaceae. The record is from RNAcentral.